CAUUCAUGGAUUUUAAAUGCAGACUAAGAGAGCUUUCCUUAAGCAGCCAGAGGUUUUCCUUUGGUAAGAAACUUUUCUUCCCUCUAAUCUGGUAAUUCAAGACUCCUAGGGAAGCUCUUGAAUGUCUGACUCUCUAAUCAGUUCCAUCUUUCUAGAGGUAACAGAGAUUUUUUUUUCAGAGGACUCUUCUUUUCUUUUCAAUGAUUUAACUUUAUCUAAUAUGCCAUAG
Molecule: long non-coding RNA, 229 nt
Filed under: Elaeis guineensis (African oil palm)
Lineage: Eukaryota; Viridiplantae; Streptophyta; Magnoliopsida; Arecales; Arecaceae
Description: long non-coding RNA (EGUI_LNC036128)
Source: RNAcentral